This 284-nucleotide ribosomal RNA is filed under the name uncultured Streptococcus sp. Its description in RNAcentral is "partial 16S ribosomal RNA". It matches the Rfam family "Bacterial small subunit ribosomal RNA", at positions 1100 to 1382 of the family's 1533-position model. Lineage: Bacteria; Bacillati; Bacillota; Bacilli; Lactobacillales; Streptococcaceae. The record is from RNAcentral.
AACCCCUACUUGUUAGUUGCCAUCAUUCAGUUGGGCACUCUAGCGAGACUGCCGGUAAUAAACCGGAGGAAGGUGGGGAGUGACGUCAAAUCAUCAUGCCCCUUAUGACCUGGGCUACACACGUGCUACAAUGGUUGGUACAACGAGUUGCGAGUCGGUGACGGCGAGCUAAUCUCUUAAAGCCAAUCUCAGUUCGGAUUGUAGGCUGCAACUCGCCUACAUGAAGCCGGAAUCGCUAGUAAUCGCGGAUCAGCAUGCCGCGGUCGAAUACGUUCCCGGGCCUU